RNAcentral lists this ribosomal RNA (460 nucleotides) under uncultured bacterium. RNAcentral's name for it is "partial 16S ribosomal RNA". It matches the Rfam family "Bacterial small subunit ribosomal RNA", at positions 338 to 795 of the family's 1533-position model. The record is from RNAcentral.
CCUACGGGAGGCAGCAGUGAGGAAUAUUGGUCAAUGGACGAGAGUCUGAACCAGCCAAGUAGCGUGAAGGAUGACUGCCCUAUGGGUUGUAAACUUCUUUUAUAUGGGAAUAAAAUGUUCCACGUGUGGGAUUUUGUAUGUACCAUAUGAAUAAGGAUCGGCUAACUCCGUGCCAGCAGCCGCGGUAAUACGGAGGAUCCGAGCGUUAUCCGGAUUUAUUGGGUUUAAAGGGAGCGUAGGUGGAUUGUUAAGUCAGUUGUGAAAGUUUGCGGCUCAACCGUAAAGUUGCAGUUGAAACUGGCAGUCUUGAGUACAGUAGAGGUGGGCGGAAUUCGUGGUGUAGCGGUGAAAUGCUUAGAUAUCACGAAGAACUCCGAUUGCGAAGGCAGUUCACUGGACUGCAACUGACACUGAGGCUCGAAAGUGUGGGUAUCAAACAGGAUUAGAUACCCGUGUAGUC